This 113-nucleotide non-coding RNA is filed under the name Chloroflexota bacterium. RNAcentral describes it as "Chloroflexi bacterium Glycine sequence". It matches the Rfam family "Glycine riboswitch aptamer". From Rfam's summary of the family: This family represents the bacterial glycine riboswitch. Glycine riboswitches usually consist of two metabolite-binding aptamers domains with similar structures in tandem. Lineage: Bacteria; Bacillati; Chloroflexota. The record is from RNAcentral.
UCCAGAUUCGGGGAAGAGACCUCCCCUCCCCCGGGGAAGCACCGAAGGGGCAAGCGGCGCGGGCACGCAGCCUGCGCGGCGAAUCUCUCAGGUAAAAGGACCCCGAAUCUGCG